Molecule: ribosomal RNA, 460 nt
Filed under: uncultured bacterium
Lineage: Bacteria
Description: partial 16S ribosomal RNA
Rfam family: Bacterial small subunit ribosomal RNA
Source: RNAcentral
CCUACGGGUGGCAGCAGUGAGGAAUAUUGGUCAAUGGACGAGAGUCUGAACCAGCCAAGUAGCGUGAAGGAUGACUGCCCUAUGGGUUGUAAACUUCUUUUAUAAAGGAAUAAAACGAGGCACGUGUGCCUUUUUGUAUGUACUUUAUGAAUAAGGAUCGGCUAACUCCGUGCCAGCAGCCGCGGUAAUACGGAGGAUCCGAGCGUUAUCCGGAUUUAUUGGGUUUAAAGGGAGCGUAGAUGGAUUGUUAAGUCAGUUGUGAAAGUUUGCGGCUCAACCGUAAAAUUGCAAUUGAUACUGGCAGUCUUGAGUACAGUAGAGGUGGGCGGAAUUCGUGGUGUAGCGGUGAAAUGCUUAGAUAUCACGAAGAACCCCGAUUGCGAAGGCAGCUUACUAAACUGUGACUGACAUUGAUGCUCGAAAGUGUGGGUAUCAAACAGGAUUAGAUACCCCAGUAGUC